Molecule: long non-coding RNA, 16780 nt
Filed under: Fragaria vesca (wild strawberry)
Lineage: Eukaryota; Viridiplantae; Streptophyta; Magnoliopsida; Rosales; Rosaceae
Description: long non-coding RNA (FVES_LNC001063)
Source: RNAcentral
UUGCCGACGUCCGUCACAGUCAGCCCUUCCCAAUUCUCCACAUGGAUCGAUAAAGUUCUUUUGAAGCUUGAGAAUUUGUCCUUAGGACCCAACAGUCGACCAACCUAGAAGGAAUGGUCAUAUUGCAACGCCACUCCUUUCUUGACCCCAAACUUGAGUCGUGAAGAAUCUUCCACAUUCCUUCAUUCACUGCAAGUAGCUUCCAAGCUUUCCUAAAGUUCUAGUAGAUAAGGAGAAAGAAACCCCCUGCUCAGAGGGGGCUUAGUUAAUUAGUUUGCUCUUUCUUCAGUGCUUAUACUAGUCUCCUCAGGGACUUGGGCGGGUCGCGGUUCAAGGGCUAAAUAGCGCCAGUGGGAGCCCGAAACCACGUUUUAGGGAAUUCUAGAAGGGUAGAGCACAAACCCUUCUUCAAACAGACCAUCAUUCUAUUAUUAGAUUUGCAGCCAGGGAACCUAAAGAGGCAGGUAAGGGUGGACCGAACUAGCGCUCAUUUAGGAUGAUUUCGCUAUAAUAGUGGUUGAGAGGAUGCGACUUCACAAAGUCAUAGCCAGAAAUGCAGUGGCUGCCGCCAUGAAAGUGAGUGAUUUUUCAAAGAAAAAUUCUUUAAAAUCUCUAGGACGGCUAGGUCAAGACGAAAAAGGUUAUUGGUAUUGAUCAAAUCUAUAUGUAAUACCCCGGAAUUUAGAUACUAGUUUCUAAUAUUAUUUGGAAAUUUUCGAGUUAGAAGUUAGUGGGUUUUUAAGGUUCGAAGGAAAAGUGGAAGUGUUUGGACACAUAAAUUACUCGAAAUGGUUCUUUUUUCUUUAAAGGUCAUAGAGUAGACUUUUUAUUCGUUGGGUUUCUCAAGAAACUUCCUUCAUGAAAGUUGUAGAGUUUGGCGAUAUGAGUUCGUAAACAUGCGGUACACGUAAAACGAAUGUUGUAUGAAAAUGUUACGGUUAGAGGAAGUUAGUUUCCGAUUUUAGAAAGUUUAUAAAUAGAAAGAGGGAACCCUAAUUUUCAGAAAAGCCCUCUCUCUCUCUCUCNNNNNNNNNNNNNNNNNNNNUACGUACUACUACUACUCUCUCUCUCUCUCUCUCUCUCUCUCUCUCUCUCUCUCUCUCUCUCUCUCUCUCUCUCUCUCUCUCCUAUCUCCCGACCCUCCCACGCACUCUCUCUUCUCCGGCUCAGUUCUCCUCCGUCCGACCACCAAAUUGGACGCUGCAGGUCACGUUGGAUUCGCACAGAUCUGCUCUCCACUCUGGGGCAGCGUUGCUCGCCGUCUAGACGCCGCCACGAAGUGACGGAGCUGUUGCUGUCUCGCUGGAAAACUGGCGAUUUUGGCGACGACGAGGGGCUACCUUAGGCGAGUCUAGGUCCUCUUCUCCUUCUAGUUGUGGCUAGGCAUAGAUUGAAACAAGUUUUUGAAUUUUUGAACCCCAGAUUUGCAUAUUUAAGUUUGAGUUCGUGGUGGAGUUUAAAGGCGUUUUCCGGCCAAUCCCGGCCGAACUAGUUGAACCUUCAAGUAUUAAAGUUGCUCACCAUGCUUCAAGCUUCAAGUUUGCUGUUUUGAGUUUGCUCAAAUUCGGAAGUUUCGGGGUGGCGUGUGGGGCUCACUCGCCGCCGCCUGUGGCGGCGCGUGGCAGCGCGUUCGGCAGUGUUUCUAGCUUUAAUUUCUUUGGUUAGCUAGCUCUUGUUGUUGUGAGCUUGUUAAGAUGUGGAAUAUGUUUUGAGUAAGGAUUGCAGGCUAGGCUCUAUGUUUAAUCAUAGACUUGUGAGAGGUUUUGAGUUUAGGAUUUAGGAAUUUGAAGCAGCAGUAACGGGUUGUUAAGUUCGACGACCUUAGAAGGUUGUCCUCCUUUAGAUUAAGGUUUGUUAAGGAUGCAAUGUUCUUUUUGUUCAAGUGGUUACUAAGGUUAUUAAUUGUGUUAAAUAGGUAGCUUGUGGAGUUGAUAUUUGAGCUUGGCUUUUGAGUUUAUUAUGAAGACGCAGCAGAAUUUUAGGUGAGUAAAAUCUCACCAAGGCUCACUUUGGGACCCAAUUAUUUAUGGUUAUUAUGAUGAUGAUGAUGAUAAUGAUGAUUUAAAAAUUAUGUUUUUGUUUGUUUAAAAAUAUAUGAGCUUGAUCGCCAAUGGCUCAUAGGUAAGAGAAAACAAGUUUUCCUAUUUAAAUGAUUAUUUUUAAGGUUCUUGUGACCAUAAUAUUUUUGGUUCUUAGUAGAUUAUUAUUGUGAGAAUAUCUAUGUGUAUGUAAAUAUAUGUCUAUGUGAAAAGGUAUAUUAAUUAUAAUGAGGUGUUGCUUGUGUUAGUUCUAUUGAUGUGGUUAUUUAUGCCUUGUUGAAAUAUAUGUCAUUUGGAUGAGUAUUAUUGUGAUGUCUAAGUUGAGCUAAUUGUGACUUAUUUGAUGUUCUAAGCCAAAGAAAUUUUGCUUGAUUGGUGAAAUUGUGCCGUAGUAGUGAUUGUGUGUCUUAAUGGUGAUUGUAUGCAUUACACUACCAGAAGAAAGGUUUUAGCCGACAAAAAUAAAAAACCAGGCCGACGAAUUAUUUUUUCGUCGGCUAAAGUCCACUUUAGCGGACGAAAUUUCCUUUCGUCGGCUGAAAUUUCUUUUCGUCGGCUAUGGUCAACUUUAGCCGACGAAAUUAAAAUUUCGUCGUCUGAAUAAUUUUUUUCUUCGGCUAUAGUCUGUGAACUUUAGCCGAUGAAAUUUUUAAAAGUUUAGCCGACGAAAAAUAUAAUUUCGUCGGCUAAAGCAUUUAAAUAUCUACAGAUCUGGACAACAACUCAUCUGAAAAAAAAACUAUACGUAGAACCUUCAAACGCAAAAAUGUUGUGAAAUAAGAUAUGACCAGAAUGGUGAAAUACGUCUACGGUUGAAAAAUCACGGUAUUCCGGUAAAGUCUUGGUGCCGAUAGUUGCGGUCAAUGCAAUUUACCCUUAUUAUUCACUAUGCUGCAGAUUUGGUUUUUGGUGUCUGAUUGACUAUUGUGAUACCUUUCCGGAAGCGUAACGGCCCUACGAGUCAAACUCAUCGCUAUGCCAUGAUGUAUGGGCCUUUUUGGCCAUCCGAGUUCGUUUAGGGCUUCAAAAUGCAGUUUUCUUAUUUCCGACUAGAGUUGACCGUUUCGAUCGAGCCCUUAACGUUGUCGAAUCCAGUUGAAUUUUUUACCAUAGACAUCUUUCGUCAUAAUGAUCAUAUCUAACGGUCGAAUUUUGGUUUGUAAAUUUUAGUCAUCGGAAUCACAACGUGUCUACUAUUUACCGUUAUUAUUCCCUAUGGGGAGCCCUAUCGUCGGAAGGUAAAUGUCUCAAAAUUUUUAUAUGGGCAGUUGCGGCUCAUCUACAUGAGAGUUUUUCGUGAGGAAGAUUUGAUCAAACUAUGUAAUAUAGAGGGAGAUAUGAGCGUUUUCGUGUGAUAAGUGACGAUGGAUAAGGGUUGACCGUUUCGAUCGAGCCCUUAACGUUGUCGGAUCCAGUUGAAUUUUUUACCAUAGACAUCUUUCGUCAUAAUGAUCAUAUCUGACGGUCGAAUUUUGGUUUGUAAAUUUUAGUCAUCAGAAUCACAGCGUGUCUACUAAUGUUGUAUAACUUGUUUAGUAGGUUAUACAACUUUGUGAACCAACUCUACAUAGGAAGCAAAAUUAUCAAAAAUCUCGUGAAAUAAGAUGUGUUCAGAAUGGUGAAAUACAGCUAUGGUUCAAAAAUCACAUAAAUCAGAUAAAGUCUCGGUGCCGAUAGUAGCGGUCAACCCUAUUUAGCGUUAUUAUUCCCUAUGGGGAGCCCUAUCGUCGGAAGGUAAAUGUCUCAAAAUUUUAUAUAUGGAUAAGUUGUUUGUAGUACUAAUCAAACUCAACUUAUCCAUAUAUAGAACUCAUCAAAUGGUGACUUGAGGAAGGAGAAAUUCGAUCGACACCCAAUCUGAACCGGCGGAGUUUUGGAGCUCGAUUUAUCCCUCACGGUGGUGCCACUCGAUGCACCACCUGUCCAGCAAUGAAGUAGAGAUGACGGCGAAACUUUUGGGACAAGUGUGGCGGUCUCCGGUGGCUUGACGGCGGAGCUAGGCCGAGAAGAAAUUCUGGCAGGCGAAAUAGACUUCUUACCAUCCACCUUCGGUAAAACUCCUAUAUAAAGAAUUUUAGCUGACGAAAUUCUUUAUUUUCGUCGGCUAAACUCUUUUAAAAAUUUUGAAAAUUUUGAAAAUUUUGGUUGACCGCCAAAAAAUUUUGGUUGAAAAUUUUGAAAUUUUUUCGACUUUAGCCGACGACUUUUCAUAUAUUUUCGUCGGCUAAAGUCCUUUGAAAAUUUUCCUCCAAAUUUGGUUUACAGCCCAAAAAUUUUUGACCUUAGCCGACGACUUUUUUAAUAUCUCAUCGGUUAAAGUCUAUAAAUUCACGAAAAUGCUCAUAUCUCUCUCUAUAUUACGUAGUUUGGUCAAACCUUCCACACGAAAAACUUUCACGUAGAUGAGACGCAACUGCCUAAACAGGUCAAUUGAAUCAAAAUNNNNNNNNNNNNNNNNNNNNUGUUUCAUCGGCUAUAGUUAUUUUUUUAAUUUUUUUUAUAAGGUUUAGCCGACGAAACAGACUAUAUUUCGUCGGCUAUAGUUAUUUUUUAAAUUUUUUUAUAUGGUUUAGCCGACGAAAUAUACUAUAUUUCGUCGGCUAUAGUUAUUUUUUUAAUUUUUUUUUUAUAAGGUUUAGCCGACGAAUAUCUUAAUUGUUUUGUUGGCUAAAGUCUGGGAAAAAAACCAACGACAUGUUUUUCGUUGGCUUAACUGUGGGACUAUAGCCGACGAAAUUUUUUUUUUCGUCGGCUAAAGUCAUCGCCGACGACCUUUUCCCGACGAAAUCUUAGCUGACGAAGGCUCGUCGGCUAAGAUCUUAGCAGACGAAUUAAGCUAACAGACCGACGAAAUUUUUUCGUCGGCUAAAGUGCUUGUUCGGGUAGUGUUAGAGUAGGAGCCUUCUUUGUGGUGUCAGUGAACCGGGAACCAAGCCUUGACCGGGUGAUUAGUUACGGUUAGUUUAGAGCUCUAGUCUGUCUGUCGGUACUUCAUGGGGGAUGACUAAGUGUUGACGAACUCAUAAGUUAGAGAGGAAAAAUGAUUGUCUGAUGAUCUUACUUAUUGUCAUUUAAAUUCCUUGCUUUGAGUAUCUCCUGAACUAUGUUUUCCGUAGGAGAUCCUUUAAUUUUAAUUGUGUGAUUUUAGUGGAAUUCCUGAACUACACUUUUUGCAGAAUUCUUUUAUGAUUUUGCAAGUGAGGAUUUUCAAGAUUGAGACGUACAGGUCUAGAAGCUAUUUGUUAGAAGUUGAAUAUUUUUGUUAUUGAUUGUCAAUUUGUAGUGAGCUUUUUAGAGCGUGACCUUUACUUGACUUCUCAAGUUAUGUAAACGUCGGAAUGUAUUAUAUGACCUUUUUAUUUUUGUUAUCAUGCCUUGAAUUUGGAUUUUUAUUUAUCCAAAAUUUGGGGUGUGACACUAUAGAUACUAAAUACGUAAAUUUAACUUACAAGAAAAAGAAGUUAACCACAGGUAAAACUUUAACAUAAAAGAAUAUAUUGAGUUUCUUUAAUAGAAUCGAAUGUCAAACAAGUGCACAGUACCAUUUAGUUUAAUGACAUUAGUCUCCUGUCAGUAAAUGGGAGAUCGUGAGUGUGACUUACAAUAGACUCAUUGUAGCAAUUUAGUUGUUUGUGUGUUUUUUUUUUAAAAAAAAGGUGUUGCUAAAUAUACCAGUAAAUUUCUAUGUAGACCUAGUAAACUUUUCACACCCAGCAAAAUUAUAUAAUUUCUAAAUGCACCUAGCAACUUUCCAAUAAUACCCUUUCUUAAUUAAACCCAGCAAAACUAGGAACAAACUCAAGAAUUUCACAUCUCACAGUUCGUUGGUCAUCAAUAUCUCUAUGUUCUUGGUUUAAAUCAUCCACGAGGUCUUUCAUUUUUUAUUUUAUUUCUUAGUUCAGGUAUGAAAUUUUGUUCAUUCAUUGACAGAUUAACACAUGUUUUUUUUUUGAUUCAUGGGUAGUGUUUAGUUUUGCUCUGAAUUCAAUUUGCUUAUGAAGGAUUUGAACAAUUACAUCUGUAGGAGAUGCGUACAAUUUGAUUGAAUCUGAAUAGGAGUUGAAAACAAUUUGUUUUGUCUUUUCUUUAUUUCACGAAUAGUGAAGUAGAUUGGGCUCAUCUAACAGAAACUCAUAUGCUUGCAUGUAUGGGAUGAUUUGAAUCUCUCACAAAUAAAUUUCUUCCUUUGCUUUAUAACUUGUGGCAUCCCCAUCCCGUAGUUAUAUUAUGAGUUUGUUCAGCAAUGAGGAAGAUGUACAGUAGAAGGGCAAUAAGCACUCCUCAAUCCUCAUUCCUUCUCUAUCAAAUAAUAUCCUCAAACAAGAGAAAGCUUUGUGCUUUUACUUCUUUCACAAAGACACAGAACAAAAUCGAUCAGACUUCUCUAUUCUGUCUCUAUCCUGUCUAGAUUUGGGUACAAGGUUUUACAAGGUUUUGCGGAAGAAACAACGUGAAUAUAUAAUGAACUGCUAGGUAUGUUUAGAAAUGACUGGGUAUUUGAAUUUCAAUUUCUUCUCAGUCUUCUGUCAUUAUUUUAAUUAUCAUGACUAUUAAUGUCAUUUGGUAAAAAGAUAAAAUUGUAUUUUCAAAUAAAACUGUUUUGUUUGGUCUAUUUAGUGAUUUGCUGGAUACAUUUAACAGCAAAAAAAAAAAAAUGAAACGAGUUGAUAUUAUAACCACUUCACCAGUUACGAUUUUUUUUUUAAUUAAUUGGAAUAAACUUUGGCGUAAUCACCGGUCACCCAUAGGUCAGUCUCAACUCUCUAAUUAAUAUAGUAUUAGUAACACACACAUACAAGUUAGUUAUGGUGGUAAUCUGUCAUAAAAAAAUCUAAAGGCAAAUGAUAGUGGAACCGCGCGCACUCUCAUAAUCUAUCAAAUUCCAAGUGAAAAUGGUCACCCUGUCCUCUCUGAAUAACAGAAUUAGUAGAUGUCAUCAUCACAUGAUUAUUCCAAAUUAAGUUGCUUUUUAUUCACUUCUAGUAUCUGUUGGCUAGCUAAAUUUUAAUUUUAUGUUUUUUGAAAGAAAUUUUAAUUUUAUGUUAAUUUGCAUUGAUUGCUUUUAGGUAUGGUAAUUAUGUUAAAACCCUACCCUGAAUAUGGGGUAAAACCAAACCUGAUGGAUAACCUAACUAACUAGUUUAAUUACUUUAAUAAUGAUUAAAGUUAAUGAAUCAAUGAGAGACAUAUAUAGCUGAUUAUCAUGGAGAUGGCAAAUAAGUGAUUGAAUUAAGUCAAUUAACUUCAUUUUGGAAUGUGAUCUAUCGUGUACUUACUACAAAUCUUUAGCCAUUUCCAUCCAUUUCAAAUGAGAAAUAAACAUGAAAAUAAUGGCUAAUAUUAAGGAUCAUCAUAUUCUUCAAAUAACUUUAUUUUUAUUAAUAAAUUGAAUUUACAAGAAAAAAUUUUCCAUGCUCCCAGAAAACAACGUGGCAUUACUUAGUGGUUCUCCUUACCUAUAAGACGUUGCCAUGUGGAAAUUUUGACUUGUCUGAUUGUCAGUUAACAACAAACUAACAUACUUCUCCGCCUCUUUUCUCUUGCCGUCAGAAAAAGAAAAAAAAAAAAAAAAUACAAACCCAGAUAUGCAGAUUUUAAGAGGGGUUGAUAGAUACCUAGAUCUGCAAUCCUCUUUUCUUCUUUUCUUUUUCUCAUCUUCAUGACUUCUGAUAUGAAUCAAAGAACAGAAAAUUGAUUUCUAUACUCAGUAUGAGGAGACUAGUUUAGAUUGACAUCACAACCAGACUUGAUUAGUAUGGUACUUGGAUUUAUCAUACUUAUCUGGUGUUUGAAACAACCAGAUUACAACACAACUGGAAUUCGAACAGAAAUACAGAAUCAAUGAACCAACAAAUUAAUUAAAGUUCAAUUCCUUUUUGAUUCCAAAUAGAUUAUUGGAACGGGUUAUCUCUAGAAUAGCCCAUGCUUUCAGGAUAGAUUCAUGUUCUCCGGCGGGGCACACUCAAUCAUUCCGGCGAUCUCAAUAUUUUGCAGAACACCGACAUCGGCGAAAUCAAAAGGUCGGUUGAGAAGAGUAAAAAAGAAGCAUAAAAUAGAAGAAGAAGAAAGGAGAUGAAGCUGAUGAGAGGCAAUAAUUAGAGUAUGAGACCUAUGAAGGAGAGGAGAUGAUGUUCAUGUCUGGAGGGAGGUUGAAGAACAGAUAAGAACGUAUCGAAACUGGAGUAGCGAUAGAUGUCUUUGCACUGCAUGACGGCAACCUUAACGACAGAGUUUAAGCGUUUAAUUUAUUAUUCAUAGGUGUCAAAAUUUCCACGUGGGAACAUCUUACCACCGGGCAAUGCCACAUGGUUCUCCGGGAACAUUGAAAAAUUUCUCGAAUUUACAAAUACCACUCCAGAAUAUUGUUGGAUGAUGUUUUUGGAGAGAGAGAGAGAGGGAGAGAGAGGUCUAUUAUCUUCAUGAUCAUAUAUUGUGUAGUACAACCUACUUAUUUCCCACCGAAAAUAAAAUUCCACCAACCAUUCUUCCUUUUGUACAUCUCAUAAUAACUACAAUUUAUACACCAACUAAUUAUUGAUACAUGAUCAUCUUGUAAACGUUGUACAUCUCUUCUCGGCCUACAUUUGUAUAUAUGCAGCAGCAACAGCAGCAGCUAUUCACAACUUCCUUCACAAUUAACUGUGUCUCAGCACUGAUCGAUUGAAAGCUUCUCGAUCUCUCGAAUACUAAAUCGACGUCGGUGACCUUUAUUUCAGACCUUUCCCCUCUCAUCUAAGCUAUAUAUGAACCUCCCCAUUGUUUGACAGACCUAAACAAAAUGUAAAAGCUAUAUAUAUGGCUAGAAAUGUUCUACCAGUCUUGAUCGAGGAAACAAAGAGGCCGGGAUCACAAAUUAGAAAAUGAAGAAGAAAUUAAGGAGUAUAUGUGGGAGGGGAAAAAAAGAUGACGAAAAAGAAAAGAGAGGGAAUAUUGGAAGGCAAUUAUUUAUCUCAACUCUGGUAGUCAAGUAAAGGAAAGGAGGAAACAUCUUUCAUCAGAUCCUCCAAGUCCCACUCCCCCAUUGUUAACCCUUGAUCCUGAUGAUCAUCUUCAAAGUAAUUCCCAACCCCAAUCAUGUUUUCACCCUUGAUGAUAUUGUUAGUGUUACUGUAGUAAUUGUUAUGAUCAUAGAAGAUCGUUUCAGUUUUGAGAUUAUUUUGAUCGUGGUCAAUGGUGCUUACGCUCUCUAGGGGAGGCACAUAGAUGUCUUCUUCUACUCUCAUAUUGACGUUCCCAAACACGUCAAUAUUUUGUCCAAAGCCACAAUCAUCACCAGUACUGCUACCACUGCCGACCGAACCAAUCUGAGCAGUGCAUGGGUUUCCAUUGUUGUAGUACCCGCCAUGCUCGACCAUCGGAAAGGGAUCAAACAUGUGGUUGAUCAGGGAGGUGGCUUGCAUUGAUGAAUCAGGGUAAAUGGGCAUCAUUGACGGUGGAAUGAUGUUCAUGAACCCUCCUCCUCCUCCGGCCGCGGCGAAGAAGUCAUUGUUGUUAGGCUGCUCCGAGGAAGAAUCACUCGCGUUUGGUGAGGCAGUGGAGGAGGAGGAGGACAGAAUUUUUAGACGUUUCUUUAUGGUCGAAUUCCAGAAGUUCUUGAUUUCGUUAUCAGUUCGUCCUGGCAAGCGUGCUGCAAUUUGAGACCACCUGUAUAUAUAGAAUGUAGAUAUAUACGAUUAAGUUAACUAAAUUAUAUAUGAUAUAACAGUCAAUUUCAUUGUUCAAGUGUUUUUAUGGGUAUGUUUGAAUGCAAUACUUAAUUGCAUGGUUUUCUAACCUAACACAGAGAAAGGUUUUGAGUGUUUUCGACUCGAAAGCUAUAUGCAGAUGAUGUAGACAUUACAUUAAUACGUUGGUAAUAUUAUAUAUCACUCAAACUUUCAAUCACUUAAUUUCUUAUUAACUAUACCUUACAGUUAGGGGACAACCUAAUAUUUCUGAUUCUCGUAUGUUUUCUAUGUAUUAAAUCAUACAUCGUUGAUUUGCAUGGAAGCCUAAAUAUACUAUUCAAAUAAGCAAUAUGGGCGUUGAGUGUCUUUAACUCCAAGGGCAGAUCCAUAUAUGCGUCAUAUAUAACCUUCACAUCAUAUUUCUAAAUAUAUGAAACUGGAUAAACGAAGCUCAGCAUAUAGCUAGUAAUAUGUUUAUGUGUGUGUCUGUGUCAAAACAUCAUACCAAAAGAGAAGUGUCAAAAUAUAACCUCUAAAUGAAAUAUGUUGUUAAACGUACUUAGAGCAUCUAACCAAAAAUCGAUUGUCAAUAACUGAUACCAAAAUUUGAUAUGGUCAUUUAGAUACAGCCUAAAUUAACUUUUCUUUCUAGGAAUCAAGUGAUUUAAAUGUAAAUGUGUCUUUUAAUUGGAUUGGCUAAAUAGAUGAAUUUUUAUAUUGGAUAACUACAACAAACAAUUCUUUUUCUCUUUUGGUUUUAAUAGAUUAAUUUUAGCAUAUGCAUAUAAGAAUAUAUGUGGUCAAAAUGAUCAUAUCAAUUCCCAUAACAGUUCACAGACAGUAAUUUGAAUUGGUGAAAAGAAAGGAUAUGACUUAAAAUGUGGACAUCAUGUAGUCUUCAUUAUGGUUUUACUCAUAUAUUAUCCUAUAUUAAACUGUAUUCUUCUAAGACUAAUUAAGCUUUAGUGAGAGAGAUAAUCAUAAUUAUUUUUUAUAUGCCAUUGCCUUAGAUAUAACAUAUUGACUGAAGUAAAAAAAAAAAAAAAAAAAAAAAACAACUCACACAGGAAUUAAACCCAGAAGCCAACAUAGUACUAUUUAUACCUCAAAACUAAUUCAGGUUAAUGGAAACUACUGUUUAGUGACCUUGAUUAUUACCUGUUGCCAAGAAGGGAAUGGAAAUGGAUGAUGAGGUCUUCUUCUUGGGGAGAAAAGGCACCUCUCUUAAGGUCAGGUCUCAAGUAAUUGAUCCAACGAAGCCUGCAACUCUUUCCGCACCUCUCAAGGCCAGCAUUUCUCGCCACGUCGCUCCAGCAGCCUUGGCCAUUGUUGAGCAUGUACCUCAUCAGCUUCUCGUCUUCUUCCGGCGACCACAAACCCUUCCUCAGCUUAUUAUUACUACUCAUGCCGCUGUUGUUCUUGUUAUUCUUCCCGCCGGUAUUACUUACAGCAUAGGGUUCCGGCUUCCUCAUUGCUCAAAACUAGAGUGAGUACUGAGUUUAAGGUUGAGAGAGAGAGAGAGAGAGAGAGAGAGGGAGGGGGGAGGGGGGGGNNNNNNNNNNNNNNNNNNNNNNNNNNNNNNNNNNNNNNNNNNNNNNNNNNNNNNNNNNNNNNNNNNNNNNNNNNNNNNNNNNNNNNNNNNNNNNNNNNNNNNNNNNGAGAGAGAGAGAGGUAGAGAGAAAGACAGAAAGAAGGCUUCAUAUGGUGGGAAUGAUGAUGGUGAUGAUGAUUGUGAUGGUUGUGGGGUUUGCUUACAAUAUAGGGAAAACAGAAAGAAAGAAAGAAAGAGAGAAAUAAGGUUGGUUGAUGAGUCUGAGUAGAAAACGGUUUCGAAGGGGACCUGCAGAGAGAGAGAGAUGGGUGGUCGUCUUGUCUUUGACUCCAUAAUCUUUGUCUGUUUUCUAUAGGCUAAUGCCUAUUUCUUCAAUUUCAAGCUAUAAUAUUUCUGAUAUAGAUAGAUAUGAAGGAGGCGAGCGAGCUAGGGUUUUUCUUUUUUAAACCAAGACAACAUAUUAAUUUGCUUCCACUUCACAUAAUCUCUGGCUCGACCUCUCUACACACGUGUAGUUGAAGAUAAACAAGGAGAUAAUUAAGAAUAAUUAACACUCUCCAUUGAUUGGGUUAAGUUCAUAUUCCAGCUUCACUACUGAUUGGCAAUGACAUCCACGUGUUUAUGCAAUUAUGCUAAUUUGGUUUUGUAUUAACCUCAUCAAAUGAAUCAAAUUGUAUACAGGAAAAGUAGAAAAGACUCCAUGCCAGUACGUACGUGUAUGUGGAAAUUUAACGCUAAAAUUAUUCUCAUCUGAAAAAGUUGCAAAAGAAGUGAUUUGGAGCUUUCCCCAUCACUCUAUCUCUGCAAUAUCCCUCUUUGUACAGGCCUCGUUGGAAAACGUAUUUCGCCGUGGGCUGAGAGGAUUUGUGAGAAUAUAAGCUAAAAUACAAAGAACGUAUAGCUCGAACGAUAUAAUCGAUAAUUCUAGUGACAUCCACAACUCCUACUGAAAGCAAUAAUAAAAAUAUAAAUGCAUCACUGCAAAAAAAAUUUCUGUUAAGGGCAUGUAUAAUGGAUGUUGUAAUGCAAUAUGACAUUUUUUAGGAUGCCAUUUGAUUUCUACUCUCAAAUCGAUCAGCUGUGGAUCCUAGAUUUGCCAUUAGUAACAUAAUCAUACAUGCAUGUCUCACAUUUUGCACGCGCGGAUCCCAUACAUGGAUUUUUCUGUUGCCCUAUAAUAAUUUUAAACGACUGAAAGUGAUAACGAUUAAUUAAAAUGGAUUGUAUUCGAAGUAAGCUAGGCUAUUUUGGCUUAAAUUGUCAGUUUGUAUUGAUUUACGUUUUAUAAAGAGGAGUUAAUAAGAUUAGAUGCAUUAUUAUGUGAAAGAAGAAAAAGGGAAACCUUUAUAUAUAUUUUAAUGGGGCAACAAGACCAUUGACUUAAUUAUCCGAUCGAUCGAGCAUCUCUUACAAGCAAGCUGCCCAUAUCUAUAUUCGAUUCCUCAUGUUAUUUCCUAAUUGGAAAACAUAAUUAAAUAGUUAUAAAAAUUGGUGAAGGAAGAACUUUAUUAUAUCCAAAAUAUAUUCUCUCCUUCCCCGACCUAACCGUUGCUAGGGAUUUCGGAUCGGCUUCGGCCGAUCCGGCACCUUUUAUGCUCCUCUAUUCUUCCUUCUUUCCUCUCGUGACCCAGCUUUGUUUGGCAGUGGCGCCGGAACUCAAUUGAGGCGGGAGGGGGUUGUGACCCCGCGACAAUUUCAAAUUUUCUCUUCUAUUAUAGUUUAAUUCCAUAUAAUUAAUUAUGUAUGCAGUUCAAGAAUUUGGUAUAUAUUAGCCUUUUUGGAAAUUUUAACCCCUCAGGAAUUCUGUUCGAAGUUCCUCCACUGUUGUUUGGGUAGAGAUUUGUUCGCCUGAUUCAGAACUUUUUAAUCAUUUUUUUUCAAGAACGGUCUCAUCGUGCUGUUGCCUCCUGAUUUAGUGCAGGUUGCCUUGCGGUUGCUGGGUAGCCAUGGGAGGCGAUGUGUGGCGCUGGGUAGAGGUGGAACCCCUUCUCUCCGGUUGGGGGUGGGUCGCGUGCGUUGGGGACUUGGGGGCGGAUGUCUUAAGACCAGGGUCGGUUCUGAGUAAUCGGAGGCCCUGUGCGAAUUUAAAGAUGUCUUUGGAGUUUUUUAAUUUCAUUUUUAUAUUUAAUUUUACAUUCUAUGUAUCGGUAACUUUACUGAGUAAGACAUCAUUCAACAUAGUCUUCCAUAUAGUGUGCAUGAUGACAUCAUCCGUGAUCUUUUACAAGUUACUGGUUCCUAUUCUGCCACAACUUUUCAUCAAGCCAACUCGGUCAUUUUCGUUUAAAACCCUUUAUUUCUCUUACUUCUGUAAUGUUAUGUUUUAUUUAUGAUCUGACUCCUAAGGAGUCUAUUCCUAUAUAAUAAAAGGUUGUUAGCCAGUUUCAAAGAAAAUUUAUUUAAAAUAUCAGGUUGAUAAUUAAAAUAUAAAAUUUAUUUUACCUUAUAACACAGACUCGAUUAUCAAAGUCAAACUAUCCCUAUGUACCAUAAAACUUGAAUUCUAAACAACUACCUUGGAUAGUAACUAUAUAGCACAAAGUAACAAAUUAAAAGAGCAAUGACAAUAUUCAAUGAAUCAAAACACCAAUAGGUCAAGUGUAACAUCUGAUUUAUAAACUUCUAAAGCGCCCCAUAUUCCUAUAAGCACUAGGAGACGCUAUUAAAUUACAUAGUAGCACAUGACCAAAUUUAAAAACACAAAAACCCCACUUCUAAUAUUUUUUGUACAAAUUAGGACACGAGCCCAAGCCCACCACCAACAAUGCCCAUACCUUACUCCGAAUUUUACCCUUAAAUGACGAAAAUACCUAAUUUUGCAACAGAAUUACAAACUCUGCCAUGGAUCUUCCUUCUCCGUCCAACUGCUCUCUCUCUCUUUCCACAACUCUUAUCCUUGACACAUGAACAGAAGACGCCAACAACGCCUGGAAGCCGAAGCACUAAACAUCGACGACACUUGGACAUCGAUGACGCUAGACAACGACGAUUUGAUUUGAACAUCAACGACUUGAUCUAGACGCUGACGACUCGAUUUGAACGUCGAUGACUCGAUCUAGAUGCUGGACACCUAGGACACCUGGAUGCCGAUGGCUGCGAGAUUUCGUCGACGAUGCUUGAUGCUCAAUGUUUGGCCAAGACAAUGCUCAAAUCCAUCUUGAAUCUUUCGACGCUAAGCGAACAAUCUACUAAUUACAUCGCUCAGGUAAAUCCAUGGCUAUUGAAUUGAGGUAGUGAUGAAUGUCUUGAAUGUUUUGGUUCUUUUUUGGGGCUUCUGGUUGCAGUGAGAAGGUGUAUCAGAGGGGAUGAGGUAGUUUGGUAUGCAGAUGGUGAUGAAUUUGGGGAAAUGUGUACAAUUCAGUAGGCAAGAACACCUCUCUUGUGGGUAGUAGGACCUUUCUACUUGGUCUAAAUCGACAGUAGCAGUUUUGUUUGGUUUCAGAGAUUACCGGAAGAAAAAUUGCAAUAGCAUUGUAAGUAACACAUUCCUGCUCAAUAGUAGCAUAUUUCUCGUCGACAGUAGCAACAAAAUAUGUAGUGAAGGAUAUUCUGGUAAAAUACAUAAUGACAUGUGGACAUUAACUUGACCUUAUUUCACUACAAGAAGAAAGGUUUUAGCCGACGAAAAUAAAAAAACCAGGCCGACGAAUUAUUUUUUCGUCGGCUAAAGUCCACGUUAGCCGACGAAAUUUUCCUUCGUCGGGUAAUUUAAAUUUUCAUCGGCUAUGAAUUUCGUCGGCUAAAGAAUUUUUUUCGUCGGCUAUAGUCUGUGAACUAUAGCUGACGACUCUAAAGAAUAUAUUUUGUCGGCUAAACCCUAAACCCUAAACCUUAGCCGACGAAUACCCUAAUAUACGAUUUGUUGCAUCUCAUCGAAUUGAAACUAUUUUCAGUUGAAGGUCCGGCUAAAAUACGUAAUUUAGACCGUCCAAUGACUUUUUCCGUGCGUUUAGGGGUUUGACUUACGGGAUUGACCGUCCGGAUCAAGCCCUUAACCUUGUCGGAUCAAGUUGAAUUUUUUUCCAUACAUGUAUUUUAUCAUGAUGGUCAGAUCUGACGGUCGGAUUUUCCUUUCUCAAGUUUGAUCAUCACAAUCACAACAUGCCUACUAAUGUUUUAUAAUUUGUUUACCGUGUUAAAUAAAUGUUUCGUUUCAAAAACAAAGUAUACGUAGAACCUUCAAACGCAAAAAAGUAGUGAAAUAAGAUAUGACCAGAAUGGUGAAAUACGUCUACGGUUGAAAAAUCACGGUCUUCUGGUAAAGUCUCGGUGCCGAUAGUUGCGGUCAAUGCAAUUUUCUAUUCUUUCUCCCUAUGGGUAGCCCUAUCUUCGGUGGUUAUUUUCCGUAAAAUUUUUAUACGACUUGUUGCGUCUCAUCGAUUUGAAACUAUUUUCAGUUGAAGGUUCGGUCAAAAUACGUAAUUUAGACCGUCCAAUAACCUUUUCCGUGCGUUUAGGGGUUUUACUUACGGGAUUGACCGUCCGAAUCGAGCCCUUAACCUUGUCGGAUCAAGUUGAAUUUUUUCCCAUACAUGUAUUUUAUCAUGAUGGUCAGAUCUGACGGUCGGAUUUUCGUUUCUCAAGUUUGAUCAUCACAAUCACAAUGUGCCGAAUGUAUAAAAAGUAUUAUAGCCGACGACAUUAUUGAAAAUUCGUCGGCUAUAGUUAAUAAAAUAAAUAAAACAAAUAAAUUGAAAAUAUUAAAUAAAAAGUACUAUAGCCGAUGAAUUUCAUUACUUUAGCCGACGAGAUUUACAGGUUUAACCGACGAAUUUCAAAGGUUUAGCCGACAAGAUUCACAGGUUUAGCCGACAAAUUUCAAAGGGUUAGGGUUCACCCGACGAGAUUCACUGCUUUAGCCGACGAAUUUCAAAGGUUUAGCCGACGAAUUUCACAGGUUUAGCCGAUGAAAUUUUUAUUUCGUCGGCUAAAGGUAUAGGACAGCCUCCACAGCGUUUCAAAAAACCCUAAAAAUUUCGCCUACUCGCCGUCGUCUGCUCGUUGCCCGUCGCCUGCUCGCCGUCGUUACUUGUUCUGGUACUGUUCAAUUCUCUCUAUUUGCUUCUCGCUGUCUGUAAAAUUAGGGCUAAAGUAAACUGCCUUGCUUUCCUAUCAAACGGUGAGUUUAAUUGGAAAUGCCGAAGCUUUAAAUUUCAAUUUUAUCAUUAUGUGUUAUUUAUAAUUAUUGUUCUGUUUAGUUCUCCAGGUUGAAGCGAGUAGGAGCGAAUCAAUUGUGAAUAACCGAUAUUUAGUGAUUAGUGAGUAAAGGUGUAGUCUUUUCCCAGAGUUACCUUAGGAAAUCAAAAUCUAGUCUGGUUGUCUAGUUUAGGCUUGGUUUUCGCAUUGGUAGUUAUUUGGGAGCUAUCUCUUUUUUCAAGUGAUCGAUAGGUUGAUUUUCAGAACUUAAUCUAGGAUGGAAGUUUAGUUUUACUGUUGUCUUUAUAAUCCAGGGCCGAAGGAUGUUUUUGAAUUUAGAAAUUUGCAGCAUUAUAGAGGUCAGCAUGUAUAGUUACCGUUUCUUU